This 433-nucleotide ribosomal RNA is filed under the name uncultured bacterium. RNAcentral's name for it is "partial 16S ribosomal RNA". It matches the Rfam family "Bacterial small subunit ribosomal RNA", at positions 29 to 507 of the family's 1533-position model. The record is from RNAcentral.
AACGAACGCUGGCGGCAUGCCUAACACAUGCAAGUCGAACGAGACCUUCGGGUCUAGUUGCGCACGGGUGCGUAACGCGUGGGAACCUGCCCUUAGGUUCGGAAUAACUCCCCGAAAGGGGUGCUAAUACCGGAUAAUGUCUUCGGACCAAAGAUUUAUCGCCUUUGGAUGGGCCCGCGUUGGAUUAGCUAGUUGGUAGGGUAAAAGCCUACCAAGGCGACGAUCCAUAGCUGGUCUGAGAGGAUGAUCAGCCACACUGGGACUGAGACACGGCCCAGACUCCUACGGGAGGCAGCAGUGGGGAAUAUUGGACAAGGGGCGAAAGCCUGAUCCAGCAAUGCCGCGUGAGUGAUGAAGGCCUUAGGGUUGUAAAGCUCUUUUACCCGGGAUGAUAAUGACAGUACCGGGAGAAUAAGCACCGGCUAACUACGUG